This is a long non-coding RNA of Amyelois transitella, 1611 nucleotides long. RefSeq lists it as uncharacterized. The transcript has 5 exons. The record is from RefSeq and is a predicted model, not a curated record. Lineage: Eukaryota; Metazoa; Arthropoda; Insecta; Lepidoptera; Pyralidae.
GUUGCACGCUAUAAAAUACUUUUAUUUGUAUAAAUUAAAUAAAUGUUAGUUUAAAUUGGUUUUGAACGACCGUCCGAACGAAUCGGCCUGUCACAUAAAUUUAAAGUAGGUAGGUACCUGCUAGAAUACUUGAGUGAUACUUGAAAGUUUUCGAUAACUUUAAAUUCGUCCCUAAGUUAUAAAUAAUGUUUUUAAUGUGUAGAGCCGUUCUGCAACCACUUGAAAUAUCCUUUUUUUACUUGUCACGGCUUUUUAAGUGGACGCGCCUUACCUCACAACAGUUUUAGAAGUUUGCCGGAUCGCAGUGAUUUUUAAUAUUCUUAACUUUUGAGGCUAUUAUUUAUUUUACAAGAAAACUAUAUAAUGUCGUAAGUAGAAAGUGUUUACUUAUAAUACCAAGUACUGGAUGGACCUGAAGGCCAAAAUAAAACGUAAAAAUAGAACAAUUCGAGAGAGCAUCAGCAGGACAGGAGGGGGGCCCGCCAAGUGGGGAAGAGCUAACAGAAAUUGACAUAACAUUUUUAAGUAUCCUUGGUGCGGAAUAUGGCAUGGGUUUACCAGCGGUGCAGGUGAACCCAUUGCAGGAUGAUAUGAAACCUGAAGCUGGCCCCUCUGGCAUUCGAGGUAUUGAAGUCGAAUCCAUUACAGAAGAAUGGUUAGAAGUUCCUUCUAGUGUAUUGUAUCUCAAACUGUUAGUUCUUUCGAGGCAGACUCUCUACCUGCAGCUGUAGAAAUUACUACUGCAUCAUCAGAUCCUUCACAAAGCCACGCAGCAGCUGUCUCUGAUGAGGCUGUCGGCGUCGAAGUACCUAGUGUGGUACAGGCUGAAGCCCCGCCACAACCUAGGCGACGGCGCCGACGUGCUCAUUUAACAGCUGCAGAAGCAAGGGUGCAAAUAGUUGAAGCUGCACGACAGAGGGCUGCUACUGAAGCUGCAAAUAGUUUAAUACUUCAAGAAGCUAUUUGUCUCUUCCGUGAAUUAGUGGCUAUAAUUAGAAGAAGGUACGGCGAAAAGCCCAGAGACGUGCCACAAGAUCCCGCCGUGUAGAUAUACCACGUUGAAGCUCAAUGUUGUGUUGCCCAGCUGGUUCAUGAAGAGCUUCCACUGGUGGUUGUUGUGCAACUUCCCUUGCUUGCUCUUCUUCUGUCAACCUUACUUCAGGCAAGUUGUUUUCAUUACAAAUAUUGUGCAAUAUUACACAAGCAUUUGUAAUGAAGCCAGCAACCUGUGGUUGAUAAUGCAACAUGUCCCUGUGGCACAAGAGACACCGGAAACGUGCUUUGAGAAGACCUAUAGUUCUUUCUAUCACAUUCCUAGCCUUUACAUGCUUUUGUGUAUAAUAUGCUUCCGGUGUGUCUGGUUCUGCAUCCAAAAUAGGUGUCAUCAUCGUUCUUCGUUGUGAGUACCCAGAGUCACCUGGAAAUAAACAUUAUAACUCGUGUUAUUUUUUUAUUUUAUUUGAACAUUCAUAUUUUAUAUAAAUUUAAUGAUACAUUUUUAUUUUAAAAUUGAAUCCUACAAAUAUUUUUGACUUUUAAAAUUUUAUUUCAUGUUUUUAAUUGGUCUAGUUUUAAUUAAAAGUGUGUUAAAAAUAUAUCUUUCAAACAAUA